AAAACAUCGCCUCCUGAUAAUUAUAGGAGGUCCAGCCUGCCCAGUGACAAAGUUAAACGGCCGCGGUACCCUAACCGUGCAAAGGUAGCACAAUCACUUGUUCUUUAAAUGAGGACUAGUAUGAACGGCAUCACGAAGGUUAUACUGUCUCCCCCCUCCAAUCAGUGAAACUGACCUCCCCGUGAAGAAGCGGGGAUAUUAUUAUAAGACGAGAAGACCCCAUGGAGCUUUAAACUCAGAAUCACCUGCUUCAACCCACAGCCUCCCAACUAAGCAGUCCUGACUCUCUAGUUUUCGGUUGGGGUGACCGCGGAGUAAAAAUAAACCUCCACGACGAAAGGAACUACUCUCCUAAUCCAAGAGCUACAGCUCUAAGAAUCAAAUUAUUGACAAAAUUGAUCCAAAUUUCUUUGAUCAACGAACCAAGUUACCCUGGGGAUAACAGCGCAAUCCAUUUCAAGAGCCCCUAUCGACAAAUGGGUUUACGACCUCGAUGUUGGAUCAGGGUAUCCUAGUGGCGCAGCCGCUACUAAAGGUUCGUUUGUUCAACGAUUA
RNAcentral lists this ribosomal RNA (555 nucleotides) under Microhyla nanapollexa (no-thumb pigmy frog). RNAcentral's name for it is "partial large subunit ribosomal RNA". It matches the Rfam family "Bacterial large subunit ribosomal RNA", at positions 1810 to 2590 of the family's 2925-position model. The record is from RNAcentral. Lineage: Eukaryota; Metazoa; Chordata; Amphibia; Anura; Microhylidae.